UAUAAUCGUAUUUACAAAAAAAAUACAACAAUGACAUACUCUCUUUCUCUUUAUCCGAUCACUAACGGCGUACUCUCUCUCUUUAUCCCCAAAUUACUCUCUAUAUUUACCUCCCAAAUUCUAUGAUUUUCUCCUCAAUUUCUUCGUCAAUCCAUGUCUAUCUCCCGGUAGCAAUUCAUAAAUUAUUUUAAUCCUCAUAAUCAAGUAACUGACAUUCAUACUUUAGGUGAAUUUUUAAACUAGUUACAUGUGUAUUUCAUCAAUUUUAAAUUUGAAUACCAAUAUUGUUAGAUUUUUUCCAGAUCAUCCAUUUUGAUUUCUCAAUGGUGAAUAAUACUCCUACAAAGAUGGUUAUUAGAGGUAUAGCGUGUAAUGACCCUAAUGUACAUACAUUUUCAACAUUUGAUUUAAGAAUCCCUCAAACACAAGAAGAAGAUGCGUUGCCUUCAAAAGAAGUUAGUGGCAUUGGACGUAAAAGGAAAGUUACAGAUGAUGCUCUGGGUCUGAAUAACAAUGACGACGAGUUGAAUGAAGAGGUAUUGUAUAUUUCAAUUUUUCCAGUUUGCUACAAUUUGUUACAGUUUGUCAAAAUUUUGAUACAUAUAAACAAUCUAUUUGAUCUAAUUUGUGCUCCAACUUAUGCAUAUAUUUAGAUAAAUAUUCUAUAAACCGUAUGUGUAUCAAUUUUGUGCUCCAUUUUAUGCAUAUGUCAAUUUUAUACAAUAUAAACAAUUUUAUCCCCAUUGUAUAUUUGAUAUGUUUUUAAUGCAUUACUUGAUACUAUAUGUACAUAUAUGUAUUUAUUCAUUAUAGUGUGCUGAAUGAUGGAUAUCUUCUUUGUACUAUAUGUAUAUUUGGUAUUGUAUGUAUGUAUAUGUAUUUAUUCAUUAUUGGGUACUGAAUGAUGGAUAUCUUAUUUGUACCAUAUGUAUAUUUGGUAGUGUAUACAGGUAUGUGUAUAUAUGUAUAUAUCCAUUACUGGUACUAAUUCUAUACAUCAUUUUGUAUUGUAUUUAUUUUUGGUACUUGCAUAUAUGUUGUAUUUAUUACAUUGUAUUUAUAUGCUAUUGUAUUUGUAUAUAUGAAAAAUCUACAAUAUUAUGUUAAGAAACCUCCUAAAGAAUCACCUAACAUGUGUUGAUACUCCAAUAAAAAUAUAAUAGUGGAUUUCAAUGACAAACUUUCCGUUUAGCAGUUUGAGAAGUUUAGCAAGACUUGUUUUGGAGUCUAUAUGUGUAUGCAUGAGUGUUAUGUUCAAGCACAAUUAGUUAGGUGCUUUAUGUCCCUGGAGUUGGAAAUAGUUCAAAAGAUGCUCUAUUGAUAUAUGUAAUUGGAUCGAUACUUCGUUUUACGAUUAGGAAAUUUACAAUUAUAAUAGGGUUAAAUUAUGUUGGCGAUGAAGAUGAAUUUACAAUAGAAAAUAAAGAGCUUAAUUGAAUUGUUUCACAGUAUUUUGGAGGUUGAAAAUCAUUAAAAAAGAAGCUUUGAUGUCACGACCCAAAAAUGAGGAUCAUGAUGGGACUUGUCGCGACGUACCUUGACAAGUAAGCCUAUCACCCAAACUGAUACAAAAAUAGGAAAAGACAGAAAUACCCAUGGUAAGGCUUCUAGAACGAAAUCGAACCAUACAAGUAAUUAUAAUAAUGCGGAAAGAACUUAUUCAAAAUACCAAUCAUGUUUAAAACCAGGUUUCAAUAGUGUAAGAAAUGCUAACACAAUCUAAGAGUCAAAUACAUUAGAAAAAAAUCACAAAAGAAUAAUAUUUGCCUCCGAAUACUAAUAAAGAUAUAACUACUAUAAAAAGAUAAUGGUGAACUCUGGACGCAUGAAUGUCCAACCAAUACCUUGGAAACUACAACAAUCGCCCGAGUCAAGCAAGCUGAGGUGUACUCAAGCUAGGAUCUGCAUCGAAAGGGUGCAGUAGGCAGGAGUGCAGUCCACUUGUACUCAGUAGGUAUCACAGGACGACCAAGAAAAGUAAUAAAUAAAGCAUACAAAAUAUACAUUAAGGGCACGUCACUUGUAAUCAAAAAAUGUCCCACAACUAUUUCUUACACCGCUUGCACUUAUAGUUCUAAUAUAUCAUAUAUAUUGCAAUAUCACACCAAGAUCGAACACUAGUAUGCAUUAUAUCAUAUAUAUAAGUAGAACAAAGGGAACAUGUAUAUACAAGAUCAUCAAAUACAAGUAAAAGAAGAUAAGACAAUUACAUAGAUGACAAGUCAAUAUGGCAAUUCAAUACAAUAUAAACACAAUAAAGUAAGUGCAAUGUAUAUGAUGAUGAUGAUGCACGAGGUCUUUACACAACCUCCAGGAUCGUCGGAUAAUUCCUGUAUACACCUAUAGAAGAAAGUCUCCCAACGCAGGACCCAUGAGGGGUUUUUCAACCCGUAUAAAAUCCAUAUAUCUCAUAUCUCCUUUCCGGCAUAUCCCUCAGAAAGGAUUUUAUAAGGUGUUAUAAUAUCUCCUCCCCGGCAUAUCCCUCGAAAUUUUUUUUAAAAGGUGUUGCCAGUGUUAAUCUGGUGUUGCUACGGUGGUGCCAAUGUUUCAUAAAUGAGUAUGAUAUGAGGAUAUAAUGCCCACAAUUAAUCACAAUGAGUAUUUCCACAACCAAUCACAUGAUAUAUUUCCACAACUAACCACAAUGAUGCAUUUCCACAACCACGCGAACCAAUAUCCACUCAUUAUUUCCAUUUCAUCCAUGAAUUUCCACAUGUCUCGUAUGCCAAUAAAGUAUGAAUAUAAUCACAAUACACCAAUGGUACCAUAUUAAUCAUUUUAACAACACAAUACAAUUAUUCACAUGUAUUCAAGGUUAUCAAUAUCACAUAAGAUCUCACAUAGUCACACAUAUCACAUAAUAUCUCAAUUUUGAUAAUUACAUCACAUAUAGGCCUCCACACGGAUACAACACAUAGAUAACCAUUUUUUCAUGAUUAGUUCCCACCCUUAACAUGAAUUUUGUACAAUCAUUUACUACCCAAUCCGGUCUGAAAGAGUUAAACCAUAACCUACCUUAAAAAUCAAAAUACCACAAUCAAGACUUUGCUCCAAAAACCUUACUCCUCACGAACGGUCACGAACUCUACUAAAAACAUCAAAUAUAGAAUCUACAUAUCAAAAUAAAACCAGCGAAACCCAUAUUGACUACAUUUGGUUAGGCAUUAAAACGGACCUACGAAACGGGUUUUUGAAAAAGAAGGGUAAAAUUAAAACUUUACUUCAAAAAAAUGUUUCUCAUAUUUUUAGAAACCUACUGCUAAAAACCCAAGUCAAAUCAAUGAAAAAUUAUUUUGAAUCUUUACCGGGUAAAAUUUUUAAAAUUCGGGUUAAAAUCAAGAAUCAGAGUUGUUUUGAAGGUAAAAUUCAUGAAAACUAGUAAUAAUAAGAUAAAAAUAAUAUUCAAGAGAAAAAGAGUGAAAUUGGGGUUUAAAAUCAAGCCAUAAGAUUUUUGAGUUUUGCGAAAUUAACCAAGAAAUUACUAAGAAAAUGAUGAAUUCUUACCUUAAAUCCGUAAGCGAAUCAAGAAAUAGACGUUAAUUUAGCUUCCCAAACUCCCAUAAGCUUCACUUUUAAGCUCUCACACUAUUUUAGAAUUUAAUUCUCAAGAGGCAAGGUGAAAGAAUGGUGAAAAUGGGUCAUAAAAAUGAGAAAAACUUGCUAUAUAUAGCAGAUUUUUCUAAGUCCAAAUAGACUUCGAUCGGGUGCCCGGAAUUUGUUCGGAGUCUGAUAUAUGCAAAUGAACUAUGCAACCAUACUAAAUUCUUCAUUCUGGACUCAAUGGAGAUAUCAUAUUUUUGAAAAAAACGUCGUUUUCACAAAGUUGACCCUCAAAACCUGAAAUAAUAAUUUUCUAAAUCGAGGGCCGAAAUGAGAUUUAAAAGCCGUAAAAUCACACCAAACAUGUUACCACCCUAAAAUUAACGUUUUGCAUCUACUGUCAAAGUUGAAUUUUCUAUCUGGGAUCGUUUCUAUCAAAUAUGGAUCCCACACUCAUAUUUCUAAUUUUUCAACUUUCCAAUCAAUAGGUCAAAAUCAGCUCGGGUGCACUGAUACCCGAACCAAAGGUCUACCUAGUCCAAAAUUGAUAUUCUGGGACUAUAUUCAUCCAUCAAUUGAUAAGGCUCUCGAAGCUAUCAAAAACCACAAUAUCGCAUAAAUGGUACCAAAAUGCAUCGAGAACCAUGCCAAUCACCCCACACCUUAGAAAUACCAUAAUGCAACUACGAGGAGGGGUAAAAUAGUCAAAUCACACAAACUUUCAUAAAAAAAUAGGUCGUUACAUCAUCCACCACUAAAAAUCUAGUUCUUCCUCAAACUAAAGGCAAAAGAAAUACCUAAAUCACCAAAGAGCUAGGGAUGAGAACUACACAUAUCAGAUUCGACCUCCCAAGUAGCCUCAUCUAUAGGUCGAUGUAACCACUGAACCUUAACGACAUGGAUAACUCUAGAGCGCAACCGUCUAACAUCCUUAGCCAAUAUAGAGAUCGACUCCUUAAUAAAAGACAACCACUCAUCUAACUGAACUGAUUCCCAAUGAAUUACAUGAGACUCUCCCGAAAUGUAACGGCGAAGCAUAGAAACAUGAAAAACUGGAUGAACAAUUGAUAGAUCAGGGGGCAAAGCAACUCAUAAUUCAUAUCACCAACAGUCCAAAGAAUCUCAAAUGGACCAAUCUACCUGGGGCUAAACUUGCCCUCUUUCCCAAACCUCAUCAACCUUUCAUAGGUGAAACUCAAAAGAAAACACAAUCACCAUCACCAAAUCUCAAGGCACGAAGUCUAUGAUCAGCAUAACACUUUGCCUGCUCUGAGCUGCUCAAAGUCUAUCCUGAAUGACCUAGAAUCUAUCUAAAGACUCACGAAGCAAGUCCUUACCUUGAGAUAUCACCUUUGAAACAUCAAACCAACCCCCUAGGAGUGACAACGCCUACCAGAUAAUGUCUCAAAAGAUGCCAUGUCGAUACUGGAAUGGUAGUUGUUGUUAUAUGCAAACUCAGCUAAAGCCAAAUGUUGCUCCCACUACUACUAAAAUUCAUCAUGCAUGCCCGGAGCAUAUCCUCUAAAACCUGGAUAGUCUAUUCUGACUAGCGAUCAGUGUGAGGGUGAAAUGUGAAUACAAAACUUUAAUCUGAAAUAAUGGACAUUGGUGCACCAUGCAGACAAAUAAUCUCAAGAAUAUAGAUAUGGGUCAACCUCUCAGUACCGAAUGAGACCUGAUCUAAAUAAAAUAAACUGACUUAGUCAAUUGAUCCACGAUGGCUGAAACACUUUCAGAACCAUGAGAUGUACAAGGAAAAUCAGUCACAAAGUCCAUGGUGAUCCAUUCUUACUCCUACUAGGGAAUGGGUAACCUCUAAAGAAACCCACCAGACCUCAUAUGCGGAAAAUAAAGGCAACGAGCUAUGAAGUCCACCACAUAUCGCUUCAUACCACCCUACCAGUAGUGUUUUCUCAAAUCACGACAUAUCUUAGUCACUCUUGGAUGGAUAGAAUAUCUGGAACAACUGGCAUCCUCUAAGAUCAACCUAAUCCAAUUACCUACUCUCAGCAUACAAACUUGACCCCUAAUUCUCAAAACUCCAUCGAAUCAAGUGAGCUUUUCUUCGCAUCGCCAGUCAACACCUUAUCUCAAAUCAAUCUCAAUCCAACAUUAUCAAAUUGAUGAGCUCGAAUCUGCUUCAUCAAAGAAGAUCUAGCCUCCAUAAAUGCCGAAACACGCCUAGGUAUCAAAAUAUCAAGCCUAACCAUCUGGUUAGCUAAAGACUGAACCUCUAAGGCUAAAAGCCUCUUCUGGAUCAACAGAUGCGCCAAGCUACCCAUGCUAGUCGUCUUUCAACUCAAGGCAUCCACAAUCAUAUUAGCCUUGCCCAGAUAAUAAAGAAUUAUCAAGUCAUAAUCCUUAAUCAAGUUAAGCUAAUGAUGCUGCCUUAUAUUAAGAUCUCACUUGGUGAAGAAGUAUGAGAAGAUCUAACAACGGACUCCAUACAAGUAGUGCCUCCACAACUUCAAGGCAAACACAACUGCGCAUCACUUCAAAUCAUGGGUAUGAUAAUUUCUCUCAUGAGGCUUCAUAUGAUGAAAUGCAUAAGCAAUCACCUUUCCCUCCUGCAUCAACAAAACACCUAACCCAAUACCUGAAGCAUCACAAAAGAUGAUAAAACCUAUGCCUACUUUUCUAGGUAAAUGUAGUAGGUAUAGCCCAAUCACGAACUACUGCAACCUUGACUGGAUCAAAUAUAAUAUCCUCCUUAAUCACCAUAUGACCCAAGAAAAAAACAGACUCCAACUAAAACUCGCACUUAGAGAACUUUGCAUACAACUUUUCAUCCCUCGAUCCCUGAAGCACAAUCCAUAAAUGCACCUUAUGCUCAGCCUCACUCUUGAGAUAAACCAAGAUAUCAUCUAUAAAUACAAUAAUAAAGAAGUCGAGAUACAGUUGAAACACCCAUUUUAUCAACUCUAUAAAUGCGAUAGGGGCAUUAGUCAAUCCAAAGAAUAUAACUAAGAACUCACAAUGACCAUAUCGAGUCUGAAAAGUUGUCUUGGGAAUAUCUAAAGCUCUAAUCCUCAACUGGUGAUAAUCGAACCUUAAAUCAAUCUUUGAAAAUACUGCAACACCCUGUAGUGGAUCAAAUAAGUCAUCAAUACGGGGAAGAGGACACUUAUUCUUAAUCAUCACUUAUUCAACUAUCGAUAAUCAAUACACAUACGCAUAGACCUAUUCUUUAUCUUCUCAAACAAGAUAGGCGCACCCCAAGGCGAUACACUAGGUUGGAUAAACCCCUUAUCCAAUAACUGUUGCAUUUAAUAUUUUAAUUUCUUUAACUUGACUGAGGCCAUCCUAUAAGGAGAAAUGCAAAUGGACUUGGUUCAUAUCUUAACAUCAAUAGCAAAAUCAAUAUCUUAAUCCGGAAGCAUACCAGGUAAGUCCGUAUGAAACAUAUCUAUAAACUCAUAGACAAUACUGACAUUAUCCAAGGAAGAAGGUGAAACAACACAAGUAUCACGAAUAUGAUCCAAAAUAAGAUAAACAUCUCUUCUCAAUUAAUUUGCGAGCCUGAACAUAUAAUAUAAUUCUCUUAGGGCCCAAAUAAAGUGCACCCUUCCAAGCUAUCCUUGGCACACUCGGCAAAGCUAAAGUCACAGUCAUCGCAUAAUAAUCUAGGAAAAAUGAUAAUAAGCCAACCAAUCCAUACCCAAAAUAACAUCAAAGUUAACUAUAUCUAACAUAAUCAAAUCUAUCCAAGUCUCACUGCCACAAAAAGUUACAACACAAGAUUGGUACACCCAAUCUACCACUAAAAAAUCUCCUGCAGAGGUAGAUACAUGAAUAGGUAAUACGAGAGGCUCGCUAACAGAAUCAAGACCUGAAGAAAAAUAUAAAGACACAUAGGAGAAAGUCAAUUCAAGAUCAAAUAAUAUAGAUAUAUAUCUGAAACAAAGGGGGACAAUACAUGUGAUCAUAAUAUUGGAUGCGUCCACCUCUAGCCUAGCGGGUAUAGCAUAACACUCAUCACACCACUAACUGGCUGAAUAGCCCCAUGACCACCACCGUAGGCUCCACAACCUCUACCUCUCGCACCUCUGGUAGAUCCUCUACCUUUUAUAGCUGUAAUAGGAGUAGUUCUAAUCACACAGAGGGAUAGAUAAUCCUUGGCCAAAUGGAGAACCUCACCACACACAAAGUAACCUCUAUGGCCUGACUCCACCGGAUAAGGUAUAACUAGGCCUGGAUGACCACCCUGAACUGUUGAACCCAAAGAUCCACCACCUAAACUCCAUAAGGUCACCUGUACUGGCCUACCCUGAUAUCUACGAGAAUCUCUAAAAUAUUUACCAUAGGGGACUGACCUCUGAAAUCACCAAACCGAUGCACCUUAUUGGCGCCACUCUAAGAUACUCAAGGAAUACCCUCUAUCACCUGAGCAUGAUCUAUAAUACUCUACAAGAAUGCCUCAAGCACAACUAUCUGAGACAUAGCCAACUGAAGGAAGACAUCCAAACCCUUUACAAACUUUCAAAUCUUCUCAAAGUCGGUGGAAAUGCUAUAAUAGAAAUAUCUGGAUAGGGCAUGAAAGCGUGCCCUAUACUCAACAACUGUCAUGGAGCCCUGCUCUAAAUGAUCAAGUUUAUCUCGUAUACGAUCACUUAGACUGAAAGGCACAAAUAUCUUUGGGAAAGCCUUGAAGAACUGAUCCCAAGUCAUCUCGGGUGAAUCAAGAGGUCUACAACUGACAAACAACCUUCACUAAUUUGUUGGCAUAUCUCUCAAUUGAUAAUAUAUAGUAUAAGAGACACCAUACACGCAGAAAGAGCGAAACACAACUAAGAACACAAGGUUUGAAAGAAAUUCACAUGAUAAAGAAUAAAAUAAGAAAAGUAUCAUAAAGACAUCUUAUAGCCUCUCGAAGAUAGAUAUGGAUGUAUCGAUCCAUGAGACUUUAUUAGACAUUCGUUCUUAUACCUUUGAGACCAAUAAAACCUGGUUACUCUAAUAAAAAUUUCUCAUGACCCAAAAAUGAGGGUCAUGAUGGCACUUAUCAUGCCGUACCUUAACAAUGUCCAUGACCACAUCUUUUUGGCACUUAUCAUGACCCAAAAAUGAGGGUCAUGAUGGCACUUAUCAUGCCGUACCUUAACAAAUAAGCCUAUCACCCAAACUGAUACAAAAAAUGAAAAGACAAAAAUACCCCAAGGUAAGUCUUCUAGAAUGAAGCCGAACCAUACAAGUAGUGAUAACAAUGCAGAAAGAACAUAUCCAAAAUACCAAUCAUGUUCAAAACUAGGUGUCAAUAGUGUAAGAACUGUUAACACAAUCCAAGAGUCAGAUACAUUAGAAAAAUAACCACAAAAGAAUAAUAUUUGUCUCUGAAUACUAAUAAAGACAUAACUACUCUAAAAGAUAGAGGUGAACUUCGGACGCAUGAAUUUCCCACUGCUACCUUAGAAUCUCCAACAAUCGCCCAAGUCAAGCAAGCCAAGGCGCACUUGACCUAAGACCUACACCAAAAGGGCGCAAUAGGCAUGAGUAUGGUCCACUUGUACUCAGUAGCUAUCAAAGGUCAUCCAAACAAAGUUGUAAAUAAAAUAUAAAAAAUAUACACUAAGGGCAUGUCAUCUGCAAUCAGAAAAUAUCCCACAACGGUAGCCCACACCGCUUGCACUAACAGUUCUAAGAUAUCAUAUAUGUUGCAACAUCAUACCAAGAUCGAACAUAAGUAUGCAUUAUAUCAUAUAUAAGUAGAAAAAGGGGUAACAUACAUAUACAAGAUCAUUAAAUACAAGUAAAAAAAGAUAAGACAAUUAACUAGAUGGCAAGUUAAUAUGGCAAUUCAACACAAUAUAAACAAAAUAAAGUAAGUGCAACGCAUAUGAUGAUGUACAAUAUUUUUGUAAAACCUCCUGGAUCGUCGCACAAUCUCCAUAUACAAUACGGAGGAAAGACUCCCAAUGCAGGACCCAUAAGGGGUUCGUUAACGCGUAUACAAUCCACAAAUCUUAUGUAUCCUUUUUGACACAUCCCUUGAAAAGGAUUUUAGAAGGUUUUACAAUGUCUACUCCCCGACAUAUCCUUUGAGAAGGGUUUUUAAAAGGUGUUGCCAGUGUUACUCAGGUGUUGCCAUGGUAGAAACAAUAUUUUAUGAAUGAGUAUGAUAUGAGGAUAUAAUGCUCACAAUCAACUACAAUGAAUAUUUCCACAACUAGUAACAUGAAAUAUUUCCAAAACCAACCACAAUGAUACAUUUCCAAAACCACGUGAGCCAAUAUCCACUCAUUAUUUUUAUUUCAUCCAUGAAUUUUCACAUAUCCCAUAUGCCAAUAAAUUCUGAAUACAAUCACGAUACACCAAUGGUACCACAUUAAGAAUUUUAAUAACACAAUAAAAUUAUUUAUAUGAAUUCAAGGCUAUCAAUAUCACAUAAGACCCCACACGGUCAGACAUAUCACAUAAUAGCUCAAUUUCGAUAAUUACAUCACAUAUAGGCCCCCACAUGGGCACAACACAUAGAUAGACAUUUUUUCCAUGAUUAGUUCCCACCUUUAAUAUGUAUUUUGUACCAUCAUUUAAUACCCAUCCCGGUCUAAAAGAGUUAAGCCAUAACCUACCUCUAAAGUCGAUAUACCACAACCAAGACUUUGCUUCCAAAGACUUACUCCUUGCAAACGGUCACGAACCCUACUAAAAAUAUCAAAUAUGUAAUCUACACAUUAAAAUAAAUCAAUGAAACCCAUAUUGACUACUUUUAGUUUGGGGUUAAAACAGACCCACGAAACGUAUUUUCGAAAAAGAAGGGUAAAAUUAUAGCUUUACUUCAAAAACGCAUUUUAUCAUAUUUUUAGGAACCUGUAGCUGAAAAUCUAAGUCAAAUCGAAUAAAAAAAAUGAGGUUUAAAUUGAAGAAAAACUAUUUUUAAGCUUUAUCGGGUAAAAUCUUUGAAAUUUGGUUAAAAUCAAGAAUCAGAGUUUUUUUAAAAGUUAAAUUCAUAAAAAAACUAGUAACCAUAAGAUAAAUAUAUCAUUCAAAGGAAAAAGAGUGAAAUUGGGAUUUAAAAUCAAGCCAUAAUAUUUUUGGGAUUUUUUAGAAAUUAAUCAAGAAAUUACUAAGAAAAUGGUGAAUUCUUACCUUAAAUUCGUAAGAGAGUCAAGAAAUAGAUGUUAAUCUACCUUACCAAGAUCCCAUAAGCUUCACUUUUAAUCUCUCAGACUAUUUUAGGAUUUAACUCUCAAGAGUCAAGGUGAAAGAAUAGAGAAAAUGGGCCAAAACAAAGGGUAAAAAUCUGCUAUAUAUAGCAGAUUUUUCUAAAGACCAAACGGACUUCGAUGGAGUGCCCAGGAUUUAUUCAGAGUCUGAUAUUUGAAAAUGAACUAUGAAACCAUACUAAAUUUGAUGUUUCGGACUCAUUGGCGAUAACAGAUUUUUAGAAAAUGUCAUUUUCACAAAGUUGACCCCAAAACUCAAAAUCAUAAUUUUUCAAACUGAAGGUCGAAAUGAGGUUUAAAAGUGGUAAAAUCACUUCAAACAUGUUACCACCCUAAAAUUGAUAGCCCGGAUCUUCUACAGAAGUUGUAUUUUACAUCCAAGAUUGUCUCAACCUAAUGUGGAUCCCACACCAAUUUUUUUAAUUUUUUAACUUUUCAAUCAAUAGGUCAAAAUUAGCUCGGGUGCAUUGAAACUCAAAUCAAAGGUCUACCUAACCCAAAAUUGAUAUUCUAGAGCUGCUGGAGUAGUCUGUUUAGCCAUCUAUCAUACAAAUCAAAAGAUAUCCACAUAAGUCUAAAAUAAAGCUCUAGAAGUCAUCAAAAACCAUAAUAUCGCAUAAAUGGUAUCAAAAUACAUCAGAAAUCAUGCCAAUCAUCUCCACACCCUAGAAAUAUCAUAGUUCAACCAUGAGGAGGGGUAAAAUAGUUAAAUCAUACAAACUCAUAAAUUUCACAUAUUUUAUCAAAAAGUAGGUUGUUAUAUUUGAUCGAAUACUUAGACAACCAGGAAUGAGGUGAGGGUAAUGAUGAUGAUAUGGUCAAUAUAGCUUUGUUUUAUUUCAUUAAUAUAUUUAUUUUUCUGAUGAGAAGAAUUGUAUAUCUCUCCCUAAGCUCCAUUUUCAUUUGAUUGAGAAUGGUCAAUACAAGAAUUACCCAUGGGGAAAUAAAGCUUCUAAGGGCUUGGCGAAAUCUAUUUUUAAAAAGAUGGAUGCACAUAAACAAUAUUAUAGGGUACAUGGUAUGUCACUUGAUAUAAAAGUUUGGAUUUAUGAGUGCUUCUCUUAUGUUGAUCCAAAAAUUAUUGUCAAACGUGCUAGUAGAAUUUCCAAAUUGCUAAAUUGGAAGACCACUGACAGGUGUCCUCAUUUUAAGGUUUUCAUCAAAGGCAUGUUAGCUUAUGUUGACAAUCCGAUGAUUAUGAAUGUAUUCUUAAUUAUUACUAUUAUAAUUUACAUGUCUUCAAAAUACGCUAAUCUGUCUAUUAUUUUCAGAUAGUAUACAGAAAUAUAAUACCCACUUCAAGAGAAUUGACAAUUUUAUAAUUGUCUUCAAAUAAUGCAGUAUCAAAUACAACUUUAGACAAUGUGUCUUCACAUGAUGAUUUUCAAAAUGCUCCCCCAAUUACUGUAAAAAAUAAAGGAAAUAAAAAAGUUGAUAGUGCAUCAUCUCCAUCUUAUAAGAAACAUAAACAAGUGAACUUUACACCUUUACCAUCAAAUAUUCUACCAAAUCAUCCUCAAGGAAUACACCAACAAAGCUGACAUACUAUGUAACUUGAAGAAAACCCCCUCCCAUUUUCAUUUCAAAAGCCUUAUAAAGAAGAGAUCAUUGUCUUUAAUUGUAAAAUAUUAGACAAAGAAGAUCGUGACUCGAACAACUAUUCCAUAAAGGAGUGACUGGAAAGACUUUUCCUCGAAGGAUUCUUUCCCAGCUUAUUAUACAGACAAAAAUUAUGUUGUCACGCCUAUAGUUAAGCUAAAAAAAUCUAAUGUUCCUAGUGAUGUACCUUCCAGCAGCAAGCUAGAUGAAGAAUUCAUUUUGGCUAAACAAUUAGUCAUUUUUCAGCAAUUGAUACAUGCAAUUUUAAUUUUUCUUAUAAGUAAUUUUACCUUUUGUUCACAUCUUUUUUUUUUUUGAUACUUUUUUAAAGGUGAAGUUCGAGAUCAGUGAUCUACGCAAGUUGAUAAAUGAUAACUUGAAGAAUGUUAUGAAAACUAUCAAAGCAAUUAAUAUUGUUGAAAAAGUAUUAUAAUAACAUUUACUUUCAUUAUAGUAUAUAUUUAUAUAUAGGGCAUACACUAGUAUAACAAAUUUCAUUGCAGGGUUCCAGUGUUGAAGUUGCGGGUAAUAUGCCUGCCCUUUCUUAACCAUCACCUAAAGAUAUUAAUGUUGGUCGUUCUAGUAUUCAAAUCAAUCUAAUACUUCAACAUUUGAGCUACAACACAUACCAAAUCAAUAAAUUGUUAUAACUGUCUAUGUAUGCAAUAUAUUAAUUUUUUAAGUACAUUUAUAUUUAUGUUUUUUUUUAGAAUAUAGAAAUACAUGAAUCAUCUAUUGGUCUAUCAUAUUUGUCCAUCUUCUACAGGGUUGCAAUGUUGAAGCUGUGAAAGAUAUAAUCUAUUAUUUUUCAACCGUCACCUCAAUAUAUUAGCACCGAUUGUUUUAGUAUGCAUAUGCGAUGUAUUAAUAUUUAUGUAUUUAUGUAGCUAAAAAAAUGCAUGAAGCAUAUAUUAAUUCAUCAUAUAUUGUUGUUGAGCCGAAUAAUGACAUACAAUUUAAUGAAGUACCAAAGGAAAAGGAGUUACAU
Molecule: long non-coding RNA, 13290 nt
Filed under: Capsicum annuum
Lineage: Eukaryota; Viridiplantae; Streptophyta; Magnoliopsida; Solanales; Solanaceae
Description: long non-coding RNA (CANN_LNC011000)
Source: RNAcentral